CCUACGGGUGGCAGCAGUGAGGAAUAUUGGUCAAUGGGCGCGAGCCUGAACCAGCCAAGUCGCGUGAAGGAUGACUGCCCUACGGGUUGUAAACUUCUUUUAUAAAGGAAUAAACUGAGGCACGUGUGCCUUUUUGUAUGUACCUUAUGAAUAAGGAUCGGCUAACUCCGUGCCAGCAGCCGCGGUAAUAAGGAGGAUUCGAGCGUUAUCCGGAUUUAUUGGGUUUAAAGGGAGCGUAGAUGGGUUGUUAAGUCAGUUGUGAAAGUUUGCGGCUCAACCGUAGAAUUGCAAUUGAUACUGGCAGUCUUGAGUGCAGUUGAGGUAGGCGGAAUUCGUGGUGUAGCGGUGAAAUGCUUAGAUAUCACGAAGAACUCCGAUUGCGAAGGCAGCUUACUAAACUGCCACUGACAUUGAGGCUCGAAAGUGUGGGGAUCAAACAGGAUUAGAUACCCUGGUAGUC
This 460-nucleotide ribosomal RNA is filed under the name uncultured bacterium. Its description in RNAcentral is "partial 16S ribosomal RNA". It matches the Rfam family "Bacterial small subunit ribosomal RNA", at positions 338 to 795 of the family's 1533-position model. The record is from RNAcentral.